Molecule: long non-coding RNA, 288 nt
Filed under: Ananas comosus (pineapple)
Lineage: Eukaryota; Viridiplantae; Streptophyta; Magnoliopsida; Poales; Bromeliaceae
Description: long non-coding RNA (ACOM_LNC020951)
Source: RNAcentral
UCAUUGUAUUUUAUGUAUCGAAUCACUUGAGAUCGAGCGUGGUGGUGCGUAUGCGCAAGUUACGCGCAAUGGCAGGGACUAAAUUAUAAAAAUAGGGCUGAGGUGGGUUUUUCUGUAAUUGUACAUAUAUCAUAGAGUUAGGUCACCAUGAAACCCUAACCCUGGGUCCCCUCCUCUUCCUUAACCGCCUCCCUCACGUUCCCCUGCUCUCCCCGCGCGCGCUCCGGCCACCAGAGCACGCCGCCGGCCGCCGGAGCUGGCUGCUCCUCCACCUCUCCAUUGUUCCUU